GUCGAAGUGAGGAGCAGAAAGCGUUGUUAAUGUUAGUUCUGGCCCGUUUGGACCCAAACUAAAGUGUAUCAGUAUGAAGCAGGCGGUGACGGCGCACUGAUUCACUCUCGGAGCUCGGUUCACUAAUGACCGAAUCACCGAGGAACCGACCAAAGAUAACUCACACCCGCACGGAGAAGAAGAACAAGAGGAGGAGAAGAUGAGCUGGAGUGGGGCAAAGAGAACUGCAUUCAGAUCAAACGGAUACGAGAGGUUACGACUCUCACUCACUCUCUCACUCGCACACAUCUAUACACACACUUCUUGACACAGAUCCCUAACUAUCAUUUCUGGUGUGUGUGUGUUACAGGUGGCCGAGUUGUUUGAGGAUCUGAAGAAUCGAGUGUCACAAUUCAACAUGCACAUCAGCGAAACUUCCUCUGACUACACCAGCACGCGCACACAGAAAUUCAU
This is a long non-coding RNA of Ictalurus furcatus (blue catfish), 453 nucleotides long. RefSeq lists it as uncharacterized. The record is from RefSeq and is a predicted model, not a curated record. NCBI's taxonomy places the organism in Eukaryota, Metazoa, Chordata, Actinopteri, Siluriformes, Ictaluridae. The transcript has 3 exons.